RNAcentral lists this ribosomal RNA (700 nucleotides) under uncultured Leptolyngbya sp. RNAcentral's name for it is "bacterial SSU rRNA". It matches the Rfam family "Bacterial small subunit ribosomal RNA", at positions 94 to 824 of the family's 1533-position model. Lineage: Bacteria; Bacillati; Cyanobacteriota; Cyanophyceae; Leptolyngbyales; Leptolyngbyaceae. The record is from RNAcentral.
AGUGGCGGACGGGUGAGUAACGCGUGAGAAUCUGGCUUCAGGAGGGGGACAACAGUUGGAAACGACUGCUAAUACCCCAUAUGUCUACGGACGAAACGGUGAAUUCCGCCUGAAGAUGAGCUCGCGUCGGAUUAGCUAGUUGGUGAGGUAAAGGCUCACCAAGGCGACGAUCCGUAGCUGGUCUGAGAGGAUGAUCAGCCACACUGGGACUGAGACACGGCCCAGACUCCUACGGGAGGCAGCAGUGGGGAAUUUUCCGCAAUGGGCGAAAGCCUGACGGAGCAACGCCGCGUGCGGGAAGACGGCCUGUGGGUUGUAAACCGCUUUUCUCUGGGAAGAAUAAGUUGACGGUACCAGAGGAAUCAGCAUCGGCUAACUCCGUGCCAGCAGCCGCGGUAAUACGGAGGAUGCAAGCGUUAUCCGGAAUUAUUGGGCGUAAAGCGUCCGCAGGCGGCUUAUCAAGUCUGCUGUUAAAGGUCGGGGCUCAACUCCGGUUAGGCAGUGGAAACUGAUAGGCUAGAGUGUGGUAGGGGUAGAGGGAAUUCCCAGUGUAGCGGUGAAAUGCGUAGAUAUUGGGAAGAACACCAGUGGCGAAGGCGCUCUACUGGGCCACAACUGACGCUGAGGGACGAAAGCUAGGGGAGCGAAAGGGAUUAGAUACCCCUGUAGUCCUAGCUGUAAACGAUGGACACUAGGUGUU